This 492-nucleotide ribosomal RNA is filed under the name uncultured bacterium. Its description in RNAcentral is "partial 16S ribosomal RNA". It matches the Rfam family "Bacterial small subunit ribosomal RNA", at positions 29 to 507 of the family's 1533-position model. The record is from RNAcentral.
AUUGAACGCUGGCGGCAUGCUUUACACAUGCAAGUCGAACGGUAACAGGCCUUCGGGUGCUGACGAGUGGCGAACGGGUGAGUAAUGCAUCGGAACGUACCCAGAGGUGGGGGAUAACGCAGCGAAAGCUGUGCUAAUACCGCAUGUGAUCUGAGGAUGAAAGCGGGGGACCGAGCAGCAAUGUUUGGCCUCGCGCCUUUGGAGCGGCCGAUGUCGGAUUAGCUAGUUGGUGGGGUAAAGGCCUACCAAGGCGACGAUCCGCAGCUGGUCUGAGAGGACGACCAGCCACACUGGGACUGAGACACGGCCCAGACUCCUACGGGAGGCAGCAGUGGGGAAUUUUGGACAAUGGGCGCAAGCCUGAUCCAGCAAUGCCGCGUGCGGGAAGAAGGCCUUCGGGUUGUAAACCGCUUUUGGCAGGAACGAAACGGUGUCCGCUAAUACCGGGCGCUAAUGACGGUACCUGCAGAAUAAGCACCGGCUAACUACGUG